CCUACGGGGAGCAGCAGUGAGGAAUAUUGGUCAAUGGGCGGGAGCCUGAACCAGCCAAGUCGCGUGAGGGAAGACGGUCCUAUGGAUUGUAAACUUCUUUUAUAUGGGAAUAAAAUGUUCCACGUGUGGGAUUUUGUAUGUACCAUAUGAAUAAGGAUCGGCUAACUCCGUGCCAGCAGCCGCGGUAAUACGGAGGAUCCGAGCGUUAUCCGGAUUUAUUGGGUUUAAAGGGAGCGUAGGUGGAUUGUUAAGUCAGUUGUGAAAGUUUGCGGCUCAACCGUAAAAUUGCAGUUGAAACUGGCAGUCUUGAGUACAGUAGAGGUGGGCGGAAUUCGUGGUGUAGCGGUGAAAUGCUUAGAUAUCACGAAGAACUCCGAUUGCGAAGGCAGCUCACUGGACUGCAACUGACACUGAGGCUCGAAAGUGUGGGUAUCAAACAGGAUUAGAUACCCCAGUAGUC
This 460-nucleotide ribosomal RNA is filed under the name uncultured bacterium. RNAcentral describes it as "partial 16S ribosomal RNA". It matches the Rfam family "Bacterial small subunit ribosomal RNA", at positions 338 to 795 of the family's 1533-position model. The record is from RNAcentral.